CGCUGGCGGCGUGCCUAAUACAUGCAAGUCGAGCGGAAUGAUGAAGAAGCUUUGCUUCUUCUGAUUUUAGCGGCGGACGGGUGAAGUAACACGUGGGCAACCUACCUUGUAGAUUGGGAUAACUCCGGGAAACCGGGGCUAAUACCGAAUAAUCCAUUUUGCUUCAUGGCGAGAUGUUGAAAGACGGUUUCGGCUGUCACUACAAGAUGGGCCCGCGGCGCAUUAGCUAGUUGGUAGGGUAAUGGCCUACCAAGGCGACGAUGCGUAGCCGACCUGAGAGGGUGAUCGGCCACACUGGGACUGAGACACGGCCCAGACUCCUACGGGAGGCAGCAGUAGGGAAUCUUCCACAAUGGACGAAAGUCUGAUGGAGCAACGCCGCGUGAGUGAAGAAGGUUUUCGGAUCGUAAAACUCUGUUGUAAGGGAAGAACACGUACGAGAGUAACUGCUCGUACCUUGACGGUACCUUAUUAGAAAGCCACGGCUAACUACGUG
Molecule: ribosomal RNA, 496 nt
Filed under: uncultured bacterium
Lineage: Bacteria
Description: bacterial SSU rRNA
Rfam family: Bacterial small subunit ribosomal RNA
Source: RNAcentral